UAUUUAUUACAUAUUGAAAAAUGAAAAGUAAGAUAUUAGUGAAAUAAUUGAAUUGUAGGGAGGUUAAAAUCGUCCAAAAUAUAAUUCUCCCUUAAUGUGAUAUUUUAAUAUAUUAUAGAUUAUAAAUAAUCUUACUUACUGUCCAAUGUAAGAACUCUGAUCCAUCAAGUGGCUACCACCUUUCAUUUGUUUAGAUGCCUAACAUCACCUUAGUGAACAGUAACAUAAUUUUAUUAGUGUACAUGAUAAUUCCAGGCUUUCCUACCCCCCCUCUCAGGGAAACAUUUACUUUUGCAGUUUUCACAGUACUCAUUGCAUAAAAUAGAAGGAAAAAUUGAAGAAGCGAUAUUGUCCUCAACUUCCCUGGUUAUCUGUCUUUACAAAAGUUCUGACCAUAAGCUUCAAAAUUCAUAACUUAGAAACAUGGAUUGUUUGAACAUUAGCUAAUACAGUACCUGGAAUGCCAACUUUUCCAUGACUUCUUCAUAAAAGGGUAAUGCCUCCUUGAGUUUCCCAAGAUCCAUCAGGGAGUCACCAUCCUUCAAUGCCU
Molecule: long non-coding RNA, 550 nt
Filed under: Olea europaea (common olive)
Lineage: Eukaryota; Viridiplantae; Streptophyta; Magnoliopsida; Lamiales; Oleaceae
Description: long non-coding RNA (OEUR_LNC010525)
Source: RNAcentral